AUUGAACGCUGGCGGAAUGCUUUACACAUGCUAGUCGAACGGCAGCACGGACUUCGGUCUGGUGGCGAGUGGCGAACGGGUGAGUAAUGUAUCGGAACGUGCCCAGUCGUGGGGGAUAACGUAGUGAAAAUUACGCUAAUACCGCAUACGACCUAUGGAUGAAAGCGGGGGAUCGCAAGACCUCGCGCGAUUGGCGCGGCCGAUAUCAGAUUAGGUAGUUGGUGGGGUAAAGGCCCACCAAGCCAACGAUCUGUAGCUGGUCUGAGAGGACGACCAGCCACACUGGAACUGAGACACGGUCCAGACUCCUACGGGAGGCAGCAGUGGGGAAUUUUGGACAAUGGGCGAAAGCCUGAUCCAGCCAUUCCGCGUGCAGGAUGAAGGCCCUCGGGUUGUAAACUGCUUUUGUACAGAACGAAAAGGUCUCUACUAAUACUAGGAGCUCAUGACGGUACUGUAAGAAUAAGCACCGGCUAACCACGUGCCAGCCGCCGCUGUAA
RNAcentral lists this ribosomal RNA (500 nucleotides) under uncultured bacterium. Its description in RNAcentral is "partial 16S ribosomal RNA". It matches the Rfam family "Bacterial small subunit ribosomal RNA", at positions 30 to 523 of the family's 1533-position model. The record is from RNAcentral.